RNAcentral lists this ribosomal RNA (464 nucleotides) under Klebsiella quasipneumoniae subsp. similipneumoniae. RNAcentral's name for it is "partial 23S ribosomal RNA". It matches the Rfam family "Bacterial large subunit ribosomal RNA", at positions 419 to 886 of the family's 2925-position model. Lineage: Bacteria; Pseudomonadati; Pseudomonadota; Gammaproteobacteria; Enterobacterales; Enterobacteriaceae. The record is from RNAcentral.
GGGACACGUGGUAUCCUGUCUGAAUAUGGGGGGACCAUCCUCCAAGGCUAAAUACUCCUGACUGACCGAUAGUGAACCAGUACCGUGAGGGAAAGGCGAAAAGAACCCCGGCGAGGGGAGUGAAAAAGAACCUGAAACCGUGUACGUACAAGCAGUGGGAGCACCUUUAUGGUGUGACUGCGUACCUUUUGUAUAAUGGGUCAGCGACUUAUAUUCUGUAGCAAGGUUAACCGUAUAGGGGAGCCGCAGGGAAACCGAGUCUUAACUGGGCGUUAAGUUGCAGGGUAUAGACCCGAAACCCGGUGAUCUAGCCAUGGGCAGGUUGAAGGUUGGGUAACACUAACUGGAGGACCGAACCGACUAAUGUUGAAAAAUUAGCGGAUGACUUGUGGCUGGGGGUGAAAGGCCAAUCAAACCGGGAGAUAGCUGGUUCUCCCCGAAAGCUAUUUAGGUAGCGCCUCGUG